Mesocricetus auratus (golden hamster) is the source of this 292-nucleotide long non-coding RNA. RefSeq lists it as uncharacterized. The record is from RefSeq and is a predicted model, not a curated record. The transcript has 2 exons. Lineage: Eukaryota; Metazoa; Chordata; Mammalia; Rodentia; Cricetidae.
GCACUGCCCACAAUGGCUGGAACAAUGAGGAACUGGGAGGAAGGGAAAGAGAAAUAAAUGAAUAACUUGACGUCUACAGGAUCAAGACUUCCGCUUAAAAAAUGCAGAGGUUUGCCAAUUCUUAUGUUUCAAGGAAACAUUCAUCUCCCUUGGAUAAUCAAAACGAGAGAGUGCAAUCAAGCCGCCGCCUCCAAGUUUCUGAAGAAACCAUUCCUGAGGCCUAAAUGGAAAAGCAGAUGCAAAAUGCAAGUAAACUCCUACACCUCGAGCCUACUCUCUCCAACCCCCAAAA